This 409-nucleotide ribosomal RNA is filed under the name Actinomycetes bacterium. RNAcentral's name for it is "Actinobacteria bacterium partial 16S ribosomal RNA". It matches the Rfam family "Bacterial small subunit ribosomal RNA", at positions 355 to 776 of the family's 1533-position model. Lineage: Bacteria; Bacillati; Actinomycetota; Actinomycetes. The record is from RNAcentral.
UGGGGAAUAUUGCACAAUGGGCGGAAGCCUGAUGCAGCGACGCCGCGUGGGGGAUGAAGGCCUUCGGGUUGUAAACUCCUUUCGACAGGGACGAAGCUUUUGUGACGGUACCUGUAUAAGAAGCACCGGCUAACUACGUGCCAGCAGCCGCGGUAAUACGUAGGGUGCGAGCGUUGUCCGGAAUUACUGGGCGUAAAGAGCUCGUAGGUGGUUUGUCGCGUCGGCUGUGAAAUUCCGGGGCUUAACUCCGGGCGUGCAGGCGAUACGGGCUGACUUGAGUGCUGUAGGGGGGACUGGAAUUCCUGGUGUAGCGGUGAAAUGCGCAGAUAUCAGGAGGAACACCGAUGGCGAAGGCAGGUCUCUGGGCAGUAACUGACGCUGAGGAGCGAAAGCAUGGGUAGCGAACAGG